GAUGAAGAACGCAGCGAAAUGCGAUACUUGGUGUGAAUUGCAGAAUCCCGUGAAUCAUCGAGUCUUUGAACGCACAUUGCGCCCUCUGGUAUUCCGGAGGGCAUGCCUGUCCGAGCGUCAUUGCUGCCCUCAAGCACGGCUUGUGUGUUGGGCCCCGCCCCCCGAUCCCGGGGGGCGGGCCCGAAAGGCAGCGGCGGCACCGCGUCCGGUCCUCGAGCGUAUGGGGCUUUGUCACCCGCUCUGUAGGCCCGGCCGGCGCCUGCCGAUCAACCAAACUUUUUUCCAGGUUGACCUCGGAUCAGGUAGGGAUACCCGCUGAACUUAAGCAUAUCAAUAAGCGGAGGA
Molecule: unclassified non-coding RNA, 345 nt
Filed under: soil metagenome
Description: partial contains 5.8S ribosomal RNA, internal transcribed spacer 2, and large subunit ribosomal RNA
Rfam family: 5.8S ribosomal RNA (bases 1-120)
Source: RNAcentral